GCCGGCUUAGCUCAGGGGUAGAGCAACGGUUUUGUAAACCGUGGGUCGUGGGUUCGAAUCCCACAGCCGGCU
Molecule: transfer RNA, 72 nt
Rfam family: tRNA
About the family: Transfer RNA (tRNA) molecules are approximately 80 nucleotides in length. Their secondary structure includes four short double-helical elements and three loops (D, anti-codon, and T loops). Further hydrogen bonds mediate the characteristic L-shaped molecular structure. tRNAs have two regions of fundamental functional importance: the anti-codon, which is responsible for specific mRNA codon recognition, and the 3' end, to which the tRNAs corresponding amino acid is attached (by aminoacyl-tRNA synthetases). tRNAs cope with the degeneracy of the genetic code in two manners: having more than one tRNA (with a specific anti-codon) for a particular amino acid; and 'wobble' base-pairing, i.e. permitting non-standard base-pairing at the 3rd anti-codon position.